GUGCUCACCUUGGCAGAACAAAUGGCAGCAUAUAUACUAAAACUGGAACAAUACAGAGAAGAUUAGCAUGGCCCCUGAACAAGGAUGACACACGAAUUUGUGAAGUGUUUCAUACUUUU
This is a small nuclear RNA of Gorilla gorilla gorilla (western lowland gorilla), 119 nucleotides long. NCBI's taxonomy places the organism in Eukaryota, Metazoa, Chordata, Mammalia, Primates, Hominidae. The record is from Ensembl.